RNAcentral lists this long non-coding RNA (6719 nucleotides) under Setaria italica (foxtail millet). Its description in RNAcentral is "long non-coding RNA (SITA_LNC001683)". The record is from RNAcentral. Lineage: Eukaryota; Viridiplantae; Streptophyta; Magnoliopsida; Poales; Poaceae.
GCCGGAGUACUGCGACGACGGCAACACGCUGAGCCCGUGGGAGAUCCGGGACCUGGUGGCGUCCCUGGACAGGAACUGGCCGACGCUGUCGUGCAAGAGCGGGCGCAGCUUCGAGUUCUGGAGCUACGAGUGGAAGAAGCACGGCACCUGCUCCAACCUCGAGCAGCACGAGUACUUCGCGCGCGCGCUGGAGCUCAAGGCGGCGCACAACCUGACGGCGAUCCUCGCCGGCGCCGGGAUCGUGCCGUCGAACACGGAGACAUACUCACUGAGCAGCGUGGGGGACGCCAUCGCCCAGGGGACCGGGUUCACGGCGAACCUCGAGUGCAACCGCGACGCCGACGGCGAGGCGCAGCUGUUCCAGGUGUACCUGUGCGUGGAUCGAGAGGUGAAGCAACUCAUCGACUGCCCGCUGUCCAUGCGAAGCAAGUGCACCGACCGGGUCAAGCUGCCAGUCUUCUGAUUGCUGCAUGCCCGCAUGCAUAUGGGCCGGUCGACUCCCCGCGCGUGCGUGUUUUAGAGCGGAUAUGAAUAACGUGCUUCCCUUGGUGACGAUUGGCGACCUGAUACAAUGGUUGAAUGUCAUGACGACAUCUUAAGCAGCUAGCAUGGCAUGCAAUAGAAGCAAAAUCGAUCUUUUCGUGUCUUUUUAUCUCGUAUCAUCGUGUCGAUUCUAUUUCCUCUCACCUUUGCUAGUUGCCAACGUAGUGAUAUUUUAUGAGGGCUGAGCCUUAUUGGGCUGGCAUAGCGUGAUGUGCAACGUGCAAUGCUUGGGCCUAAUUAGAGGCUUGUUGGGCUGGCAAAGCACCUCUACCGCUAACAACAUGCCACUAUGCCUGAACUGCUUCACAACAAAAUGCAACAAUUAAAUUUUAUGACUGACAUAUGAAACUAGAAAUUAAACCUUGCAUUCGGGGUAUCGUUUCAUUCACCAAUCCAAAUCUCUUUUCGGUGUGAUUGGUUCUCGUAUCGCUGUAGCCUGGCUCGCACCACGCAUGCAGAAACGGUCUAGCCUACCGGAUGCAAUAGCCUACCGGUUGCAAUAGCCUUUUUGCAUGACGUCCGGAUGCAGUCGUCUCCUCCUUACAUGACCUGACGCAUUUGAAAACUGCAAAUGAAAUUCGGUACUAGAAAACACCAUAUGAACUUGUUAACCCUCAGUUUAUGAAUAAUUAUAUCAACUUUGGUUUAAAAGUUCGACGGUUCAUUUUUUUUUUCAUAAAUGCACGGGCAAACAUCUAUAACUGUAUGAUGACCUUAAAGUACUUAUGAUUACAAAUACAUUGACCCUUUUACUAUCUUGAUUAACUAAAUAUUUUUUUCCAAAAAAAAUGUUGCGAGGGUAUAUUAUAUACCCUCGCAACAUUUUUUCCAAACCUAGGUGUGUUUGGUUGCAUGCACCACUUGAUGCAUGCAUGGAUGAUCCUGGAUGGGAUGGUUCAACCAAUUUACUUGUACCAUAUGGUUCACUCUAAUUAGUAGAAUAAUGUAUUAAGUGGGAUGGCCUCAUCCUGGAUGAGUUGGUGCAAUUCACCUAACCAAACAAAAGGAUCAUUAUUAUUUUGAAUCAUUUCAUACAUGAAUCAAAUAAUACAACCAACCAAACACACCUUGCAUCUUGGAUCUUAUGGAGUAGUAACAUGCUAAUCCCUCUAUUUAUGAAUAUUUAUCGACUUUUUCUAUAACGUUCAAACUUCAAUAAUUUAUUUUUCAUAAAGCACGAGCAAAAAAUUACGACCUCAAAAUACUUUGAUUACAAAUUCAGUGACACUUUUAUCAUUUUUAUUUUUAUCAUAACUAAUAAACAUUUUAAAAAUGUUGUGAGGAUAGUAAUAGUGGUUGUAUUUAACUUGUAAGCCGUUGAGAUAAUUUCGUACGCAAAAGAUUCCAUUGAUAGUGAGAAAUAAAACUUGUAAGCCGUUGAGUAGUCAUUUUUGCAUUUCAUGGCCUGAACAGAUCCAUUGUCCCUUCAUCACCUACCUAGCUGGCGUGGCCAAUGAAGAGCAACCAGAUAAGUAACGUGAGCAACACGUCCAUACACUGACCUAGGGCUCCCCAUUCUGAAAACACCGGACUCUAAUAACGCUGAUCAAUUGGAUAAGGCCUGCUCAGUUUCCACGUGAGCACUGAUUCAUACACGCUGUGUCCGCGAAGCCUGAUGAAUGCCUGAUCACAUGCUAUUUCCUUGGACACUGGAUCCAUCACAGAUUCACAGUAACUUAUUGGUGUGUAUACUAGGUGUGUACUGGUCAAAACUAUAGACAUGUUGGCGUUGUUCUCGCAUCAACGUAACUGUUGUUAGUAGCUGUAGUUAGGAUAAAUCGAUCACGCUGCAGCUAGACAGUGGACGUUGGUAUACUGAUCGAGCAAAUCUCCGAGACCAGUACGGCACCUGCUCCAACCUCCGCGAGCAGCAACUGCACUGACAGAGCGUCAAGCUGCCCGUCGUCUGAUGAUCGUGUCUCACGUUGGCCUGCCGUGUGACACUCAAACUGGUCAGCAGGUUCCAGUUCCACCUCACUAUCUUGAGGAUCACGACAGCAAGGAUUAAAUAGGAACGGAUAGAUCACCAUUCCUAAUCUCCAUCUUAAAGUUUCUUGAGUCUUGUACCUCUAUAUUAAUAUGCCCUUAAAGUUCAUCAAUAUAUUGUCUACAUUAAACAAAUUCUAAUACGUACUCCAUAUUACCCUUUGUUAUAUGUAGAGAAAUUUUACGGUGCUUGAGGAUUUUAAGAGCCGUCCAUGUAUUCAGAUAUAAUGGUUAAAAAGUGGAAGGAACUUGUAACCCAAAUAUGUGGACCGGAACCUAUAUUUUGUGGGCCAGGAACUAGUUCAAAAAUAAAACGAAGGCUAUAAUUGUACUUUCGAUUAGAUCAUCGGCCCAUGUUAGCCCGUUGGCCCAUCGGCUUGACCGUUUUCCAUCCGUCGGUACCGGUGACGUGCACGAGGAAUCCCGGGACCGCCGCAUCGCCGCCGUGGUUCCGCGCGGGAGAACGCCGCGUGCGUGCUGCUCCGGCUGUCCCAGCUUGAACGGCGCCACCGCGGCCGCUAUCAGCCGCGCGGGAGCCAUCCCUCUGCUCGUCUCCCUCCUCGAGACCGGCGGCGCACGCGGGAAGAAGGACGCCACGGCGCUCUACGCGCUCUGCAGCGGCUCGCACGAGAACCGGCAGUGCGCCGUCAAGGCAGGCGCCGUGCGGCCCAAGUUCGAUUUUUGUUGUUUUGAUGAGGUUUUGACAGUGGCGCUUGCCGGCGGCGUUUGUUUGUCCUACUGCUAGUGCUAAACUCGAGAAGGAGCUCGGAGUGGAUGGCCGGCGGCGACUCCCUGCGUAGGUGGACGUCGGGCGACGGCGAGCCCCUACGCAGGCCAGGCGGAGGCGGAGACAAGACUAUUUUUUUCUGAUCCGCUCUCUCUCUCUCUCUCGGUGAAAGAACCGUCCAAAGUAAUUAGCAAAGCAUAAAUUACUAUAAUACCCUUGGUUACAAAUUGAUUACAGUAAAAGGAACCUGAGGUUCCUUGCAAGCACCGUAACAAACCUCGGUAGUUGCUGGUUUUGUACUUGAGUUAAAAUGUCUUUUUUUCUCCUCGUCUCACGCCUGGGCCUUGCGCGCACUGGGCAGGCACCCGAUGCCAACAUGUGUGCGGCGUUUGCGCCGGCUGCUGGGGCCGCCAGUCCGUCACGAAGCACCCAGGCCAUCCAGCCCCGCCGCUGUCACGACGUUUGAUGAAGAGCGUGCGUUGGCCCCCCGGGCGGCCGACGACGGCGAGGCCGUUGUUCACCUGAUGCCGAACGGCUCGAUGGUCACGUUCGGCCCUUGCAGCACUCCGCCGCUGGCAAGGCCGUACACGUGGAACGGGACGUGCAUUAUUAGGUUCCGUUUGGUUCUACGAACUAAAGAUUAGUCUUUAUCAUAUCAAAUGUUUAGAUAUUAAUUAGGAAUAUUAAAUAUAGGAGGUGUUUGGUUCCAAGGACUAAGUUUAGUCCCUGUCACAUCGAAGGUUUAGAUACUAAUUAGAAGUAUUAAAUAUAUGUUAAUUACAAAUCCAAUUGCAUAAAUGAAAGCUGAUUCGGGAGAUGAAUCUAUUAAACCUAAUUAGUCCAUGAUUUGACCAUGUGAUGCUAGAGUAAAUAUGUGCUAAUUAUGGAUUAAUUAGGCUUAAUAGAUUCGUCUCAUGAAUUAGCCACGGUUUAUGUAAUUAGUUUUAUAAUUAGUUCACUUUUAGUCCUUCUAAUUGGUAUCCAAACAUCCGAUGUGACCCGAACUAAAAAUUAGUCCAUUGAUCAACACCCUCAUAGACUAAUUACAAAAUCAAUAACACAAAUGGAGGCUAAUUCGCGAGACGAAUCUAUUAAGCCUAAUUAGUCCAUGAUUUGACAAUGUGAUGCUAAGUAAAUAUGUGCUAAUCAUGAAUUAAUUAGGCUUAAUAGAUUCGUCUCGCGAAUUAACCUCCAUCCAUGUAAUUAGUUUUAUAAUUAAUUCAUGUUUAAUCCUAAUUAGCAUCCGAAUAUUCGAUGUGACAAGAAUUACACUUUAGCUCAAGAAAUCCAACAUCCCUUACUCCCGGUCGGGGGCGGGCUGCUCCUGCGUCGCCAUCUUCCCGUCGAAGAUCGACGUCGACAGGACGCGCGCCGGCGCUCUGCGUCAGAUUGACCAGCUGCAAGUUGAGAGGCCCAGCAGAUGAGAGCGGGGUGACCCAGCAGCCGUUCACUUCCCAGAUGCCCGGGGACCCGUCGCUGGAGUGGUUUCUGUCUGUCACCGGUGAGGAGGAGGUGCGGCCCGAACGGCACUGCUUGGAUAUGAUGGAGAAUUGGAGAUGCAUACUCCAGCCGGUCAUCCGGAGCCAAAAAUUAACCAUUCAAUUCCAACCUCCAAAAUCAAACACUGCUUUAGAGGGAAAAAAAAGAUGCUUAAAUUUGUACCAAGCCAAAAAGAAUCAAUUCUGAUAUUUGCCUGCUUCCGCCUGGUUGGAAAAGUCUCAAGCUGAUAAUGCCAAAUUAAGGGGGUGUUUGGAUACUGAGUGCUAAACUUUAGCAGUGUCACAUCAGAUGUUCGGAUGCUAAUUAAGAGGAUUAAAUAUGAGCUAAUUAUAAAACUAAUUGCAGAAUCCCUGUGCUAAUUUGCAAGAUGAAUCUAUUAAGCCUAAUUAAUCCAUCAUUAGCAAAUGUUACUGUAGCACCACAUUGUCAAAUCAUGGACUAAUUAGGCUUAAUAGAUUCGUCUCGUGAAUUAGAUUCCAUCUGUGCAAUUAGUUUUGUAAUUAGGCUAUAUCUAAUACUCUUAAUUAGGAUCAAACAUCCGAUGUGACAGGUGCUAAGCUUUAUCACGGGUAUCGGAACACACCCUAAACAGUACUCAUCUGUGCAUUUCAAUAGCCUGCUCUCAGAUACGUCUAUUGUCCCCUCACCUACCUAGCGUAGCCAAUCAAGCAACCAUCGGCCAAUAACCUCAGCGCACCAAGUCCACAGACGACCCAAUCACCCAAAAGAUUCCCGAUUCAGAGAAAGAAACGAACACAAGCGAGCUCGUAACGAUUGGAUAAGGCCUGCCUGAUUCAUACACGUCGUCGACGCCUCCUGAUCCGGAGCAUAUGCUAUCUCCUUCGACACCGGGUCCAUGGCAGUAAUAUAUUGGUGCCUUGUUGGUUGUGCGAAUCAAAAACUAUACCCAUGUUGCCAACUUGUCCUUGUGUCAACGGUUAUAAGUAGGUAAUAGCUGCCGUUCGGAUCUAUCAGCGCUGAAGCUAGCAGACACCGAUACUGUUGGGGGAGAAUCGCCGGGAGCAGAAAGGAUCAUCGAUCGAUGAAGCUUGUCAUCGCCUUCGGGCUCGUGCUCUCCCUCCUCGCCGUCUCGGCGGCGGCGGAGCGCUUCGAUUUCUUCUACUUUGUCCAACAGGUAGUUAGAGGAUUCUUGUUCUUUGAUCUGAAAUGUGCUUCUUGAUCUUGUUGGCAAAUGUUUUUUCUGAUGAAAAUUUAUCGCACCGGGGCAGUGGCCGGGCUCCUACUGUGACACGUGGAGGGGGUGCUGCUUCCCGGACUCCGGCAAGCCGGCGGCGGACUUUGGGAUCCACGGGCUGUGGCCCAACUACGCCCAGUGCCAUGGCCGCUACGGCCUGGCCCGCGCCGUGCUCGGCGACGACGCCUUCUUCUCCAUCGUGGGGCGGCGGGGCCGGUGCUGGCCGCAGUACUGCGGCGGCGACUACGACGACAACGCGCUCCGGCCGUGGGAGAUCCGGGACCUGAUAGCGUCCCUGGAGCGGAGCUGGCCGACGCUGUCGUGCAAGAGCGGGCGCAGCUUCGAGUUCUGGAGCUACGAGUGGAAGAAGCACGGCACCUGUUCCAACCUCGAGCCGCACGACUACUUCGCCCGCGCGCUCGCGCUCAAGGCUGCGCACAACCUGACGGCCAUCCUUGCCGGCGCCGGGAUCGUGCCGUCGGCCACCGAGACCUACUCGGUGAGCAGCGUCAGCGACGCCAUCACGCAGGGGACCGGGUUCACGGCGAACCUCGACUGCAACCGCGACGCCGACGGCGAGUCGCAGCUGUACCAGGUGUUCAUGUGCGUGGACCGGGAGGCGAAGCGGCUCAUCGACUGCCCGCUGCACAAGCGCAGCAAGUGCUCCGACCAGGUCAAGCUGCCCCUCUUCUGAGCGAGACGAGCCACGGCGGCCACAGGACGCGGCUGCAUCUGAUCGGCGUUCGUGUUGUUCUGCCCAAGGACUCG